CUGUCUCUUUUUUAAUAUCUUGAAAUUGCUAAGUAGGUGAAAAUACCUACAUCCUAAUAAAAGACGAGAAGACCCUAGAAAUUUUUUAUAAAGUAUAUAUUACUACUAUUAUUUUGUUGGGGCGACAGAAUAACAAUUCAACUUAUUUUUUUACCAUUUAGAAUUUUUUAUAAGGAGAAAUAAAAUUACUCUAGGGAUAACAGCAUAAUUAUAAACUAGUUUGUGACCUCGAUGUUGGACUAAGGAAGGUUUAAUUCAGAAGAUUAAACCACACGUUCUGUUCGAACGGAAGCCCUUACAUGAUCUGAG
Molecule: ribosomal RNA, 309 nt
Filed under: Humboldtiana durangoensis
Lineage: Eukaryota; Metazoa; Mollusca; Gastropoda; Stylommatophora; Humboldtianidae
Description: partial 16S ribosomal RNA
Source: RNAcentral